RNAcentral lists this ribosomal RNA (522 nucleotides) under uncultured Glomus. RNAcentral describes it as "SSU rRNA". It matches the Rfam family "Eukaryotic small subunit ribosomal RNA", at positions 569 to 1092 of the family's 1831-position model. Lineage: Eukaryota; Fungi; Glomeromycota; Glomeromycetes; Glomerales; Glomeraceae. The record is from RNAcentral.
AGCAGCCGCGGUAAUUCCAGCUCCAAUAGCGUAUAUUAAAGUUGUUGCAGUUAAAAAGCUCGUAGUUGAAUUUCGGGGUUAGUAGGUCGGUCAUGCCACUGGUAUGUACUGGUCUCACUGAUUCCUCCUUCCUGAUGAACCGUAAUGCCAUUAAUUUGGUGUUGCGGGGAAACUGGACUGUUACUUUGAAAAAAUUAGAGUGUUUAAAGCAGGCUAACGCUUGAAUACAUUAGCAUGGAAUAAUGAAAUAGGACGUUCGAUCCUAUUUUGUUGGUUUCUAGGAUUGACGUAAUGAUUAAUAGGGAUAGUUGGGGGCAUUAGUAUUCAAUUGUCAGAGGUGAAAUUCUUGGAUUUAUUGAAGACUAACUACUGCGAAAGCAUUUGCCAAGGAUGUUUUCAUUAAUCAAGAACGAAAGUUAGGGGAUCGAAGACGAUCAGAUACCGUCGUAGUCUUAACCAUAAACUAUGCCGACUAGGGAUCGGAUGAUGUUAAUUUUUUAAUGACUCAUUCGGCGCCUUACG